Anguilla rostrata (American eel) is the source of this 1468-nucleotide long non-coding RNA. RefSeq lists it as uncharacterized. NCBI's taxonomy places the organism in Eukaryota, Metazoa, Chordata, Actinopteri, Anguilliformes, Anguillidae. The transcript has 2 exons. The record is from RefSeq and is a predicted model, not a curated record.
UGUUCGUUGAGCGAAGCGGAUUUUUUUUUAGGUGAAAAAAGUCAAGUACUCUCUAACAAACUGAAUAGAACGGCUGAAGACGUCUUUACAAUGGUAUAUGAAAAUGACUUAUUUAUUGCCGGAGUGACUGUUUUGCGUUUUCCCCAAAGCUCAUUCUUGCAUUGAUUAACAUAGGAAAAGCAAUAGGCAGCAACAGUUAAAUGUUAUAUUAUAACACGGCCUCUGAUUUUCACUUGGAUCUUCAUUCUAAGUAUUGUUUGUGAACAAUAUUUUGGGAGACACUAUUUCCCAUAAGGAUCGUUUCAUAUCCUUUUUUAACGUCUUAAUCUGGAAGACCUAGAAUUCCGUUCUUGGUCAUCUUUCCGCAGUCAUCCUCAGUCACUCCUAACAGUGCGUCGUGGUAAAUCGCUUUAAGGAGAUGAUCAAUAUGUGAACUGUUUUAAACGAUCUCUCAACCAGAUUUAAAGGGGAGUCAGUGUGAAACGCUGGGACACGUUUACCCACGGAUAAAACGGUAGGAACAAGACUCUACUUAAGAACCCGUUCGUUCGUGCAGUUCGUUCGUCUGUCAGAAUGACGAGAAGGGAGACCAGUAGAAAACAAUCAGCAGAAUUGCAGAGAGAAGAAAAGGUGUGAAAUUCAAGAUUCUGAAUGGAAGCAUAGGUUCUCCCUGAAUACGGACAUCUCCAAACCAGAGAAAGUAUAUACAAAGGAAAAGUAUUCUCAUCUGCACAGAUUGGUUUGUCUUUCUAUUUUUUCCCCCAAAAUAUAAUGGGAAAUUUACAAGCUGCUGACCAGGGGAAUUAAGAAUUAAUAAGGGUACAGACAACCCGACACCGGAACCAAAUCUUUCCGAUUGUUUUUCCUCUCUUGAACCCAUAUAAUACUGGACAUACCACAAGCACUGCAGACCCAAUUAACUCUGGUGCGAACUCUGGUAGUCAAAGAAGACAUUCCAGUUCGGGUCCCACAAUGAACUCAUAAGAGUCAUUUAAAAAAUGCUUGUUUUUAGCACUGUAAAUCUGCAUAAUUCAACCAACAGCUUGUAAUUGCCAAAAAAUGUCAAGCCCAUCGGUGUAGGUAAGGCUUCAGUCAAUAGACGGAUUCCAUUGGACGAUCUGAAGACCGCGCUCUGUAACACUGGUCUCUGUUGUGGGUGGAUGCUGUAAACACAAAUUAACAGAUGGACUAAAAGAGGGAAAGAGAGACUGCAGAAUCAAUUGGACAAAAAUAGAAACAAAUAAACACACAGAACUGGACAACUCGUAUCUUUCCGGAAAAAGGAAAGACAGGCAUCGAACAAGGCAGUGAAAAAGGAAGUCGCAGAAUAGAAGACAAGCUCAAAGGAGAGUGAGAAAUGGACAGUACUGCCUAACCCUAGAAAAGGGCCGUUUUUAAUCUGAGCUCCUGGCCAGUUAAAACUAGCCAGCCUUACAUGCUUUCUGUGUUUAGUUUUUUUUUUUUUUUU